Molecule: ribosomal RNA, 397 nt
Filed under: uncultured bacterium
Lineage: Bacteria
Description: partial 16S ribosomal RNA
Rfam family: Bacterial small subunit ribosomal RNA
Source: RNAcentral
AUACGUAGGGGGCGAGCGUUGUCCGGAAUGAUUGGGCGUAAAGGGCGCGUAGGCGGCCCGGUAAGUCUGGAGUGAAAGUCCUGUUUUUAAGAUGGGAAUUGCUUUGGAUACUGUCGGGCUUGAGUGCAGGAGAGGUAAGUGGAAUUCCCAGUGUAGCGGUGAAAUGCGUAGAGAUUUGGAGGAACACCAGUGGCGAAGGCGACUGUCUGGUCUGUAACCGACACUGAGGCGCGAAAGCGUGGGGAGCAAACAGGAUUAGAUACCCUGGUAGUCCACGCCGUAAACGAUGAGUGCUAAGUGUUGGGGGGUUUCCGCCCCUCAGUGCUGCAGCUAACGCAUUAAGCACUCCGCCUGGGGAGUACGGUCGCAAGACUGAAACUCAAAUGAAUCGACGGGG